UUGAGGUGAAUUCCUGGACCUAUUAAUUUACAUCUACCCUAAUUACACAUUUAUGCCAGUUGUAAAGUUGGGAAUAACCAGCUGUUCUGGGCUGAAAAAAAGAAUAAAAGGCAAAGAAAGAUAUCAGUCACUCGGACACUCAAGUCUCACUACUGAAUGGAGGUGCCUGAAAGGCAUUUUGAAGUGCCAGCCCCUGCGUGAUGGAUUUUUGGCCUUGGAGUAUUUCAGCUUAUUCUCUACGAUUCCCUUAUUCUCCUGUACUUCAUCCAAUAUACACACCAUUGAGAGAAGCCUUCAAAAGUAUUAGCAGGAUAUAAGCAACAAGAAACAAGGUCAAUCUCAUUAGGCUGACCAGGAUCAUUUUGAGGAGAAAAAGGAUGAAAUUGAGAAGAGGAUCAGUGUAUUUCUAUGCAGGGAGAUCUCUCGGCUUAUCUAAGUCUCCUAAAGUGCAAGGAUAUUUCCAGCUCGUGCUCCGCACAGCUCCCCGCUGCCUGCAGCAAGGAAGGAAGCACCUGCAGAGCUUUUUCUGCCUCAUCUCAGACAUGUGGAGAUGGCAUAGACCCCUGCCUGAUUUCACCUGCUUUUAUUUUCAGCUCCCACCUUUGCUCCAGCCCAGCUUCAUCGUCCAUCACCACCAAGCAAUGCUACAACUCCGAUCCCAGACCGGGUGAAUCUGGGGCCCGGCAUUAACCCUAGGAAAUCAGAAAGAAAUGUGCCUCUCCAUUUCAAAAAACCCGUGUUUGUCAGCAGUUACCACUUAGAGAGAUCUGAGGUAUCGAUAACCGCCCUGCAGUCCUCCCAAGGUUUUCAGCACUUUGGCCCUGGUCCAGAGGAGCACUUACACACGUGUUUAGCUCGGAGAGGGCAGGCAGUCCCCCUUCGGGUUGUGGCUGUGCGGUGUGGAUGGGCAUAUUCUCCAUGCAGAG
Oxyura jamaicensis (ruddy duck) is the source of this 926-nucleotide long non-coding RNA. RefSeq lists it as uncharacterized. The record is from RefSeq and is a predicted model, not a curated record. The transcript is spliced from 3 exons. NCBI's taxonomy places the organism in Eukaryota, Metazoa, Chordata, Aves, Anseriformes, Anatidae.